GGGCCCGCACAAGCGGUGGAGCAUGUGGUUUAAUUCGAUGCAACGCGAAGAACCUUACCUGCCCUUGACAUCCUCGGAAGGGACCGGAAACGGACCUGUGCCUUCGGGAACCGAGAGACAGGUGCUGCAUGGCUGUCGUCAGCUCGUGUCGUGAGAUGUUGGGUUAAGUCCCGUAACGAGCGCAACCCCUAUCCUUAGUUGCCAGCACGUAAUGGUGGGAACUCUAGGGAGACUGCCGGUGACAAACCGGAGGAAGUGGGGACGACGUCAAGUCAUCAUGGCCCUUGAUGGGCAGGGCUACACACGUGCUACAAUGGCCGGUACAAAGGGCAGCGAAGCCGCAAGGUGGAG
Molecule: ribosomal RNA, 351 nt
Filed under: uncultured bacterium
Lineage: Bacteria
Description: bacterial SSU rRNA
Rfam family: Bacterial small subunit ribosomal RNA
Source: RNAcentral